CAGACACCAACUGUUGGGGUUCUAUCUCAACAUUCUCCAGAUUCAGAUGUGAGCGAUAAACCGACUUCAUCCCUCCAACAGAAACCAACUGUUGAGGUUCCAUCUCAACAUUCUCCAGAUUCAGAUGUGAGCCAUUAACUGACUUCAUCCCUCCAACAGAAACCAACUGUUGAGGUUCUAUCUCAACAUUCUCUAGAUUCAGAUGACAGCCAUAAACCGACUUCAUCCCUCCAACAGAUUGACAGCAGGACAAAUCGCUGGAAGUGGGUAUGUCUCAAGCUUCUUCCACUUGGUCCACUCCAAAGCGGGCUGCAAAGGGGAAGAAGUGGAAGCAGUUGAAUGACACAUGUUGCAUUUUGUAACUGGCAACAAAGUACCAGGUAAAAAAGAUUGUGAAACCUCCCUCCAUAAAGAACUAGUAGCUCUACAGGACAGAGAUUGGCUUGCCAUCAAGUACUACAUCCAUAACAGAAUUAUAUUAAAAAAAGGGAAAACAAAUGUUUUCCCACAUCUUCUGUGGUAGUUUGAGUAUGUUACCAGCAAUUAAAAAAGCAAAAUAAACAGCAAGCGUUUUGUAUUUAUUCCAGAUAAUUCUUAGCGACAAAAUCCACAAAAACAAUUCAGUUACACUUAGUCGACAAUUACAUUUUUACCCAUGUUUCUUUUAAACUCUUCUUGGUUUUAGAUUACAGUAGCAUGGGAUUGGGAUUUUUUUUUUAAAUGACAACACAUCAACUAAACCAACUCAGGUGGUUUUGUUAAGUCUCUGAUGUCAUUAGCCUCAUAUGUCACAUGAACCUGAAAUCUUUAACACUCUGUGACGUCAUGGUUGUCAUAUUUCACAAACUUGAAAUCUUAAACACUCUGUGACGUCAUGGUCAUCAUAUGUCACAUAAACUUGAAAUCUUAAACACUCUGUGACGUCAUGGUCAUCAUAUGUCACAUGAACCUGAAAUCUUAAACACUCUGUGACGUCAUGGUCGUCAUAUGUCACAUAAACUUGAAAUCUUAUACACUCUGGUCUUCAUUUGUCACCUAAACCUGA
This is a long non-coding RNA of Nerophis ophidion (straightnose pipefish), 1045 nucleotides long. RefSeq lists it as uncharacterized. The transcript has 5 exons. The record is from RefSeq and is a predicted model, not a curated record. NCBI's taxonomy places the organism in Eukaryota, Metazoa, Chordata, Actinopteri, Syngnathiformes, Syngnathidae.